GUUCGCAAUGCUCGGAAGGCAGUGGAGUGAGUCUGAGAACGUCCAAGAACGGACAACACUGGUCCCUGUGCCCACCCGGAAGCUGGAGCCACUGGAAUGGACGGCACCACCUGACACAGAGACGCAUCUGAAGUGGGUGGGGCCCUCACGUGUCGCUGGAGAAGGCUAUGAGAAUGAGAAAUAGAGUCCUUUGAAGUCAACAGUAAAGAGAAGCAUCAAUUGGAGCCCACACCGCACUCUUCUUAUACAAAAAGCCCCCAGUUGUAUAUUACUCUGCAUCUGGCUGUUUUCCUGGAACCAUGUUUCCUACAGGCUGGCCCGGAUUCCUCCCUCCCAGCAACGGAGCAGAUUGCUGGACCCCACGGAGCGUUGGGAAAAUCUUUGGGAGAUUUCCAGUCACAAGCCGAUGCGGGAGAUGAAGCCGCCAGAACCGCUGAUCACUGGCAGGCUGGCCCUGAACUGCGCGCCCCGCCCUCCGCUGGCCGCUUGGCACACACGGCCGGUCCUCCAGCUGGUGAGUCACUGGACACUUAUUCAUCACACAGCAGGCAGCGGAAGGUGCCAGAAGGGUGUGCCGGGCAAGGAGCUGGGCCGGUCCUGCAGCCCUGGGUGCUGGUGAGUCACUGCUGCCAGGCGCUGAGCCGGGUGCCGAGGGAGGCAAGGCCCUGGCCAAGAAAGGCCAAGGCUGGCAUCUGUUUCUGCUCCACCCUCGCUGGGGGGGCCGGCAGGCGGGGGAGCAGGACCUCUCCUCUGUGUGCCCUCCAUCCUGCUGUCCCUGCCAGUGCAUACACAUGCACGUGAGCACAGUGUAACAGCACACACGUGCGCACAUGCACACACAUACACACACACACACACACACACAUGUACACGCACUAGCUAAUUCCAAGCACGUGAUCAGACGCAGAGCGGCUGCAGGUUAGGACACAGGCCUUGGAGGCUCACCUCCCUGCUCCUUCGAGGUGAACGGAGCUGCAAGUCCCCCCCCACUGCUUCCGGGGAGACCUCCUCCCACCUGCCCCGGCCCUCCAGGCAGCCCGGCCCGGCCCCAGCCCUGUGCCAGCACCGGAGGGCGGGGCCCAGUUCAGGUAGGAAGUCAUCAGCCCUGGGCUCCAACCCUGCCUCCACUGCACACACCCGACCCGGGGCCUCAGUUUCCUCUCCUGGCACGGGGCCAUCUGAUGCUGGUAGAAGUUCCCCAUUCUCAGGGAGCACUGCCGGGGCUGGUGGGAGCACCAGGCAUCACGCCAGCGAUUUCAGGGGUUCUGGCCCGAAGGACCCUCUGGGCCUCUCAAGCCUCCCGAUCCUGCCUGUGGAAACCUGGGUCCCCGCAGAUGGUCCGCAGCCCUCUGCUCCGACUCAAAGGUACCGCCUUAGCAGCUCCUCGCGUCAAGGACAUCAAUGGCUCACACAGGCCUCCUGAAAAGCAUGUCCUUUGCCAGCAACCCCAGGACAGACCCCUCGGCUGUCCCCAAGGCAACAGACUGCAAAAGGUCCUGUCUCCCACAAGGCUGUCCGUCUGCUCUUGUCCUGCGAGGGCUGGUCUGAAAGCUGCCCCAGGCAGGGGUCCUCAAAGUUCAGUUCUGCAAAUGUUUAACGCGCGCCCAGCUCUGUGCCGAGGGUCCAAAGAUGACACCCCUGCCCCCAAGGGGCCCCCAGUCCAGCAAAGGAGACGGAGACAGACAGUUCCAGACGGUGCUCGCGAGUCCCAAUUCCCAGAUACAAAACCAGCAGCUAAUUUCACCCACAAAAAUGCAAUAAAAUAGCAAAAAAACGUAGGCAGCCUCUGGAGCCAUUAAUGAUUCUAUCAAUACAGACUUAAAGUAACCGGAAAGGCGGUUUUCUGGGUACCGAACGUCUGUUCCUACCUUCCCCUGCUCUGGCUCUCCGCCCUGGGUGGGCUUCUGCGGGGCCAUUUUUCACAAAGGAAGCCAAAAGGCACACACACGAGUGUGACACCCAG
This is a long non-coding RNA of Equus caballus (horse), 1963 nucleotides long. Lineage: Eukaryota; Metazoa; Chordata; Mammalia; Perissodactyla; Equidae. The record is from Ensembl.